ACGGGAGGCAGCAGUGGGGAAUAUUGCACAAUGGGGGAAACCCUGAUGCAGCAACGCCGCGUGAGUGAUGACGGUCUUCGGAUUGUAAAGCUCUGUCUUCAGGGACGAUAAUGACGGUACCUGAGGAGGAAGCCACGGCUAACUACGUGCCAGCAGCCGCGGUAAUACGUAGGUGGCAAGCGUUGUCCGGAUUUACUGGGCGUAAAGGGAGCGUAGGCGGACUUUUAAGUGGGAUGUGAAAUACCCGGGCUCAACCUGGGUGCUGCAUUCCAAACUGGAAGUCUAGAGUACAGGAGGGGAAAGCGGAAUUCCUAGUGUAGCGGUGAAAUGCGUAGAGAUUAGGAAGAACACCAGUGGCGAAGGCGGCUUUCUGGACUGUAACUGACGCUGAGGCUCGAAAGCGUGGGGAGCAAACAGGAUUAGAUACCCUGGUA
Molecule: ribosomal RNA, 434 nt
Filed under: uncultured Clostridium sp.
Lineage: Bacteria; Bacillati; Bacillota; Clostridia; Eubacteriales; Clostridiaceae
Description: partial 16S ribosomal RNA
Rfam family: Bacterial small subunit ribosomal RNA
Source: RNAcentral